This 253-nucleotide ribosomal RNA is filed under the name uncultured bacterium. RNAcentral describes it as "partial 16S ribosomal RNA". It matches the Rfam family "Bacterial small subunit ribosomal RNA", at positions 524 to 776 of the family's 1533-position model. The record is from RNAcentral.
GACGUAGGGGGCCAGCGUUGCUCGGAAUUACUGGGCGUAAAGGGUUCGUAGGCGGUGUGGCAAGUCGGAAGUGAAAUCUCCAGGCUUAACUUGGAGGCUGCUUCCGAAACUGCCGUGCUAGAGUGCGGGAGAGGCCAGUGGAAUUGCAGGUGUAGCGGUGAAAUGCGUAGAUAUCUGCAGGACCACCCGUGGCGAAGGCGGCUGGCUGGACCGCAUCUGUCGCUGAGGCGCGUAAGCUUGGGGAGCAAUCAGG